CCAACACCAACCGCCUUGCCCCGAUUAGCUCUUGGAGAUGCGGACGACAGGAUGUGCUCCAGCGCCGCCGCCUACGAGCGCCUCCCAGACGAUGAGUCGACAACGAAGCUCGGGGACGUGAUAUGGCGCUCGGUGUAGGUGGCCAUGGUGGACCUGAAGAAGCUGGCUGAGAUAAGCGAUGGGUGAGCUGCUUCUCAAAUGUCCCAUAGCAUACCGGCUGCAGCACCCCGAGCUCCUCAUUAUCUGCUCCAUGAUCAAGAUCCAUCGCCACCGACAGCCACGCACUUGGAUGCAAGGCUUGCCCGGACGACUCUGAACCGAAACCAAUCCUAGACUGGGAGUCGUAUGCAUCGUCCAUUUGUGCAUAUCCAACCAAAGCACUUAAUUCACAGUCCGCAAAAUAAUCUAUGUAACGCAAGGCAAAUCUAGCUUAGAAAUCUACACGGAACUUCCACUGCGCUCUGCUAAAUCAACUUACCUACUCCUUUAACCUUUUCAUGGUUCCUUAUUCAUUUUGGCAGUUCCCCAGUCCAAACGAGCACUCAUCUUUCAUGGGUGAUUUCUCUACCGCAACUGGACUUGCAACUUUCAUGAUGAUGCUGUUAGGCUGGAUUACAUUCCAAAGAUUUGGUUGGGGGGUGGCUUCCAUUAUCACCCCCAUAGUUUUGUGGUGACUGGCGUUGGUUUCUUUUCUGACUUUCAACAAGUGCAGUUCAUUGCCGCAGAGCAGUCUUAGAAGAUCCGUGCACAUGUAGCCUUAUUUCUUAUUCCAAAUUUCAUCAUACAAAAAAAAAAUACUCAGUGUAACCUCAUUUCUGAUGUUUGCGAAAAUUAGAUUAUAAAAAUGUUGCAUAAUGGCACAUGA
Molecule: long non-coding RNA, 865 nt
Organism: Triticum dicoccoides
Lineage: Eukaryota; Viridiplantae; Streptophyta; Magnoliopsida; Poales; Poaceae
Exons: 3
Source: RefSeq, a predicted model, not a curated record